CGAAAUGCGAUACGUAGUGUGAAUUGCAGAAUUCAGUGAAUCAUCGAAUCUUUGAACGCACAUUGCGCCCUUUGGUAUUCCAAAGGGCAUGCCUGUUCGAGCGUCAUUUGUACCCUCAAGCUCUGCUUGGUGUUGGGCGUUUUUUUUGUCUUGGGGGCCUGCCCCUAAAGACUCGCCUUAAAAAGAUUGGCAGCCGGCCUACUGGUUCCGCAGCGCAGCACAUUUUUGCGCUUGCAACCAGCUCCAAAGAGGACGGCACUCCAUCAAGUCUCUUUAUUCACUUUUGACCUCGGAUCAGGUAGGGAUACCCGCUGAACUUAAGC
This 323-nucleotide unclassified non-coding RNA is filed under the name plant metagenome. RNAcentral describes it as "partial contains 5.8S ribosomal RNA, internal transcribed spacer 2, and large subunit ribosomal RNA". The stretch from base 1 to 106 matches the Rfam family "5.8S ribosomal RNA", at positions 49 to 154 of the family's 154-position model. The record is from RNAcentral.